UACGUAGGGGGCAAGCGUUAUCCGGAUUUAUUGGGCGUAAAGAGCUCGUAGGCGGCCGUUCGCGUCGGAUGUGAAAGCUCAGGGCUCAACUCUGAGAUGCCAUUCGAUACGGGACGGCUAGAGGUAGGUAGGGGAGGGUGGAAUUCCUGGUGUAGCGGUGAAAUGCGCAGAUAUCAGGAGGAACACCGAUUGCGAAGGCAGCUCGCUGGGACGUAACUGACGCUGAGACGCGAAAGCGUGGGGAGCGAACAGG
Molecule: ribosomal RNA, 253 nt
Filed under: uncultured bacterium
Lineage: Bacteria
Description: partial 16S ribosomal RNA
Rfam family: Bacterial small subunit ribosomal RNA
Source: RNAcentral